UCCUGCCUCAUUUCAGCUUCCAAAGUCCCACUGAGCUCUGGCUCAAGAUGGCUGGACUAGAUCUGAGGACAUGAGAAGAAAAGUGGUGGCCAGCCCUGUAGCUGGAGAUCUGAGCAGUCUGGGCUCGGAGGGCUGACAGCCAUGAAGCUAAGACUUCAGCCUUUUAGGGCAAAAAGCAGACACAGCAAACAGCUCAAGACCUCUGCCGUACGCCAGCCUCCUUUUCAGAAGAACAAAGACAGGCUUCAAUCACAGCAGACCCAGAAGGUGACCACACCUUUGCUGCACAGCUCUGCUAUGCAGGACCAAAGACCCGUUACUGCACAAGGAGAGAUGAAAGCACAAACACGAGAAAUGCCGGCAGAGGAACAGGAGUCAGUGAGGGGCUCUUUGGCAUCUUGGUCCCUCGGUGAGGGACCCACACUGGGCAACCUGGAGCCGUGCAGGAGGUAGGAUUCUCUGGUGUGCUGAGCUACUAGCUGCUCAGGUUAGGAGUGUGGCUGUGGUUUUCAUGCCACCUUUCACCCAGUCACUAAACAAGAGUGGCCACCUUUCUGCCUUUUCCUCCUCUAAUGGUAAGGAUGGAGGAUGGAGCCUUGUAUGCUAAGAGUCCUCUACCUGCAACUACAACUUUUUUUUGGGGGGGGGAUGGGGUUGGGGGUGGUCGGUGGCGGGGGUUUCUUUAUGUAGCCCAGGCUGUCUUAGAACUCAAUCUGUAGAUCAGAGUGGCCUGAACUCACAGAGAUCUGCUUGCCUCUGCGUGGGAUUAAAAGAGUGCUGCUGUGCUGGGAUUAAAGGUGUGUGCCACUACCUCAUAGCAACAAUCCCCAUUUUAUAGAGAGAAAAACAGAGGCUGUGGUGGAGGACAAGAAGUAGGGCAGAGCUGGCUUGAAAGCUAGCACUCAAUGACUGUUAUGAGAGCUGGUUACACAGAUGAAGUUUUGUCAGAACUCACUGACCGAGGUUGGUAGAGUUUAUUAUAUAUAAAUCAUGCCUCAGAAGGAUGGUUUCAAACACCUGGACACAGAGCAGUCCCUGUGUGCCUUGCCUGCACCUCUCCUUCGAGGUUAUUCUCUUGGGUCUCCCUCCUCACACUUAGGGUUCAAAGCUAACCCUGUGUCCUUGGCAAAGGUUCCUGAUCGUCCUCUGACAAUUGCACAGUUUGAGGAAAAGAUCUACUGUCCAAUCCGGGCUACUGAAAGCCUACUCUGGAUUUUUAUAGUUCUUUCUGUCAGGGCUACUUAGCUGGGGCUGAUGGUAGCCAUCUUUCUACUAGAUGGGGAAAAAGGGAAGCAGAGUCAAGAGAUGGCAAAGGGCAGCUUUCCACUCAUGGAUGCGACAUCCAGGCUCAGCCUUAUCUGAGGAUAACAUUACUAUUAUUAGCCAGCCAGCCCUUUCUUUUCCUACUGCCAGGCUGCUUUGGCUUUUCUGUUCCUUUUUUCUUCUCUUCUUUUCUUUUCUUUUUUUUUUUUUUCCGAGACAGGGUUUCUCUGAGUAGCUCUGGCUGUCCUGGAACUCACUCUGUAGACCAGGUUGGCCUUGAACUCAGAAAUCCACCUGCCUCUGCCUCCCAAGUGCUGGGAUUAAAGGCAUGCGCCACCACUGCCCAGCGGCUUUUCCAUUUCUUAAAAGAGCCCUAACUCGGAGCUGGAGAGAAUGCUCGGCAGUUAGUGGGCUUGCUGCUCUUAUAGAGACCUAGCUCUGGUUCCCAGCACCCAUAUGGUGGUCAUGGCUGUAACUCCAGGGAUCUGAUGCCACUGGGCUCCAGGACACUGGCAUUCAUCACCCUCAACCCCCAUCUCUUUCCUGCACAUACACACAUAAUUAAAAACAGCAAAAAUAGAUCUUUUAAAAACAGAUUCCUAGUGCACCAGAAUGCUCUAACAUACCGAAAACCUGUGUCCUUUAGUGUGUAUGUGUACCAUGGUAAAUGAAGGGAAGAGAAAGCCAUACAAGUAUGAGAAGGACUCUGGAAAUACCACAGUCUCUUUUAAAUCCCAGUUAUUAACUUGCCAUGGAGACACAUGUUUGUGAUCCCAGCACUUUGGAAGUGAGGCAAAGCAAUCUCAAGUUCAAGGCCAGCCUGGCAUAUUCAGAGAUGCCUACCCUGUCUCAAAAAUAAAAUAAAAUAAAAUAAAAUAAAAUAAAAUAAAUAUUUUGUCUUAUAUUGCAGAGGGAAUUUUGAAGCAAUGAAUGAUGGUGUCCUCAUUAUUUGUUUUGUCUGUUUUUUUAUCAACUUGACACAGGCUAUAUAGUCUUUUGAGACAAGGGAACCUUAAUUGAGAAAAUGCCCUUGCAAGAUGGGCCUGUGGUUAUGCCUAUUGGUAUUCUCUUGAUUAAUGGCUGAAUUGGGAGGGCCAAGCUCACUGUGGGUGGUGCUGUGUCGGGUGGUCCUGGGCUGUUCCAAAAAAAGGCUGAGCAAGCCAUGAGGAACAAAUAAGACAAUAAACAGCAUUCUUCCACAGUUUCAGUUCCUGCCUUCCUGACUUCUUUUGAUGACAGACUGUGAUGUGGAAGUGUAAGCUAAAUAAACCUAAGCUGGUUUUGGUUAUGAUUUUUUUAUCACAGCAAUAGAAACACUCUCUAAGACAAUGGUCAAUACAUAGUUCAAGGUUAUAGGCUGGGCACAGGCUUUUCUGAUUUGCAAAGCCCUCAUUCUUACCUAAAUACUGGUGAUGUGCUUCUGGGUUUGUUGUGCCUUUUCAUUUUGAUAAUGUAUUUUUUAUAGGCUUCCUUUUGGCAUCAAGAGAAUCUUUUUUCCACUGGACUUAGAAACUCUUUAAUCCACAACACCAGAAAGGCCAGUGCUGUUCUCAUGUCAGUGCGGCCCACUCUCACUGGACCUUCUGCUGCCCAGCACUGCCCUUCUGCUCGGUCCUGGGUCAGCGGCAGUGCAGAAUGCAUGCUGCACACACUCCCACAGCACAGCAGGUCAAAUGACAGAGCAAAGCCUGUAUCCCCUGGCCCACUAGUGCGAGACAGGAUGGCCAACUCACUCAGAUC
Long non-coding RNA from Mus musculus (house mouse), 3003 nucleotides. RefSeq annotates it as predicted gene, 52264. The record is from RefSeq and is a predicted model, not a curated record. NCBI's taxonomy places the organism in Eukaryota, Metazoa, Chordata, Mammalia, Rodentia, Muridae. The transcript has 3 exons.